UCUCUCCAUAUAUAUAUAUAUAUUUGACACUAGGGUUCUUAGACCUUUUUUCUGCUGAUUUAGUUGCCUCCUUUGCCCCUAAAGCAGGAGAGGCCCUCCCUUCUCUGGCUUGGUGUUAGUUUCCAGCCUGGUGUGCAUGUGUGAAGGGUCUAUAGGGCUAUUAUCUUUCUUUGGUUUUAUGCUUUGUUGUUUAUUUUCUUUCAACUUCCAAUGCAGAUUGGUGGGUGAAUAAUGAUGGUUUUAGACUAGGAUCUACUUCUGUGUAUAUCUAUAUGUGCUGUUUGGGUUUGACUUGGCCGAAAAAGUUUCUGUUUCAGUUAAGAGAGGAGGGUAUCCUGAGGGUUUAAAGAGUUGGUCAAGUGAGAGCCACCGCCUUUUGGUUAUAAGAGAUUGAGAAACCAAUAAGCUCUGCCUCCUCCUCUAGUUUCUCUCCUUCUAAGGGCCACCAGUCGAGUUUGGGUUGAUGUCUUGGCUCCUAUGGUUUGUGUUGGUUUACGAAGCAUUUUAAUAGAUUCCUAUAGCUAUGAUUGGCUCCUAAUGCAAUGAUCUGGGGAAGAUAGGGCUCGCCUUGGCGUCGGUGGAGUUCAUUUGGUCCCUGUUUAGGAGAAUCUUUGCCAUCAUAAGAUGUCAAGACUAGCGGUGCAAAACUGAGCGUUGGCAGAUUCGUUGGGAUUGGUAGAUUCUUUGAGAUUGGCUCUCAACCUGUUCCUAUGCCGCUUGUAGGUCCUACGAGUUUGAGCUCAGGCCUGGGGAUUAUUGUACUGGGCUUGGGCUUUCUAUUUUUUGAGUCUAUUUUCUUGUAUUGUAGUUACGUUCCUAUUUUUAGGCCAUAGGUCUUGUAACAAUCACUGUACCUUUUAAGACCUUUUAAUAAAAUUUAUCUAUCUC
This 888-nucleotide unclassified non-coding RNA is filed under the name Hevea brasiliensis (rubber tree). The record is from RNAcentral. Lineage: Eukaryota; Viridiplantae; Streptophyta; Magnoliopsida; Malpighiales; Euphorbiaceae.